UCUACUGAAAGAGUUUUCGGACAAUGGAUGUAGAGGAAAGUGGCGGACGGGUGAGUAACGCGUGAGGAACCUGCCUUGAAGAGGGGGACAACAGUUGGAAACGACUGCUAAUACCGCAUGACGCAUAGGGGUCGCAUGAUCUAUAUGCCAAAGAUUUAUCGCUUCAAGAUGGCCUCGCGUCUGAUUAGCUGGUUGGCGGGGUAACGGCCCACCAAGGCGACGAUCAGUAGCCGGACUGAGAGGUUGAACGGCCACAUUGGGACUGAGAUACGGCCCAGACUCCUACGGGAGGCAGCAGUGGGGAAUAUUGGGCAAUGGGCGCAAGCCUGACCCAGCAACGCCGCGUGAAGGAAGAAGGCUUUCGGGUUGUAAACUUCUUUUAAGAGGGAAGAGCAGAAGACGGCACCUCUAGAAUAAGCCACGGCUAACUACGUGCCAGCAGCCGCGGUAAUACGUAGGUGGCAAGCGUUGUCCGGAUUUACUGGGUGUAAAGGGCGUGCAGCCGGGUCUGCAAGUCAGAUGUGAAAUCCAUGGGCUCAACCCAUGAACUGCAUUUGAAACUGUAGAUCUUGAGUGUCGGAGGGGCAAUCGGAAUUCCUAGUGUAGCGGUGAAAUGCGUAGAUAUUAGGAGGAA
Molecule: ribosomal RNA, 634 nt
Filed under: uncultured bacterium
Lineage: Bacteria
Description: bacterial SSU rRNA
Rfam family: Bacterial small subunit ribosomal RNA
Source: RNAcentral